AAUCAACGCUGGCGGCGUGCCUCAGACAUGCAAGUCGAACGCGAAAUUUCCCUUCGGGGAGAAAGUAGAGUGGCGCACGGGUGAGUAACACGUAGGUAAUUUGCCUUUGGGUGGGGAAUAACUCAGGGAAACUUGAGCUAAUACCGCAUAAUGCAGCGGCUCGACAUCGAGACAGUUGUUAAAGCGGGGGAGUUGGAGCAAUCCGACCUCGCGCCUAAAGAGAAGCCUGCGGCAGAUUAGCUAGUUGGUAAGGUAAUGGCUUACCAAGGCGACGAUCUGUAACCGGCCUGAGAGGGCGGUCGGUCACACUGACACUGACAUACGGGUCAGACUCCUACGGGAGGCAGCAGUCGGGAAUUUUGGGCAAUGGGCGCAAGCCUGACCCAGCAACCGCCGCGUGAAGGAUGAAAUUUUUCGGAAUGUAAACUUCGACAAGAAACAGGAAGAAUAAGUGUGGGACAAUACCCCACAUGAUGGCGGUACUGUUUGUAAGCUCCGGCUAACUCCGU
Molecule: ribosomal RNA, 509 nt
Filed under: uncultured bacterium
Lineage: Bacteria
Description: bacterial SSU rRNA
Rfam family: Bacterial small subunit ribosomal RNA
Source: RNAcentral